CACUACAGCUAGUAGGCCACCUCAGCCCGGCUAGUUGAGAUGGUCCCAUUGAAUCCAUCCUCUUUCUCCUUGAUCCGGCAGGUGGAGGAACUCAGCCAUCCCGGUUACCGGUGGCAGGAUGAUUUCCUUUCAUCCCAACCUUUAUUUCCACAGUGAAAUCAUCAUGAAGGAGCACUGUGUUGGCAUCCUCGGCUACAGGGUGUCUCAUUCCACUGCAGUCCAGCGGUUCUGGGAUCACGAAGGUCAAGCCUCCAGCUGCAGGCAGUACACCUCCUACCUGAGCUCAUUCAGCUGUUUGGCUGAACAUGACUGCCCGGGUUUUGGCAGGAUUGCUGAGUUGGAGUCUCACUGUGUCAUCCAGGCUGCAGUCAAGUGGCAAACUCUCAGAUCACUGCAACCUCUCCCUCCAGCUUCAAAGGAUUCCUCUGCCUGCUGAUGCUGCUUUUCCCCCACAUGAGGAGAACAUGCAGACAGUUAUAAAAAAUUCUGUGCCUGGGGUACUCUCGCUCUGUAGACCAGGCUGGAGCGCAGUGGCAGGAUCUCAGCUCAACACAUC
RNAcentral lists this long non-coding RNA (556 nucleotides) under Homo sapiens (human). RNAcentral's name for it is "family with sequence similarity 197 Y-linked member 2 (FAM197Y2)". Lineage: Eukaryota; Metazoa; Chordata; Mammalia; Primates; Hominidae. The record is from RNAcentral.